GCAGGCGCGAAACCUUUACACUGCACGACAGUGCGAUAAGGGGACUCCGAGUGCGAGGGCAUACAGUCCUCGCUUUUCUGUACUGUAGGGAAGUACAGGAACAAGUGCUGGGCAAGACCGGUGCCAGCCGCCGCGGUAAUACCGGCAGCACGAGUGAUGGCCGCUCUUAUUGGGCCUAAAGCGUCCGUAGCCAGCCGAGCAAGUCCGUCGGGAAAUCUGCCCGCUUAACGGGCAGGCGUCCGGCGGAAACUGUUCGGCUUGGGGCCGAGAGAUCCAAGGGGUACGUCCGGGGUAGGAGUGAAAUCCCGUAACCCUGGACGGACCACCGGUGGCGAAAGCGCCUUGGAAAAACGGACCCGACGGUGAGGGACGAAAGCUAGGGUCUCGAACCGGAUUAGAUACCCGGGUAGUCCUAGCCGUAAACGAUGCUCGCUAGGUGUGGCGUAGGCUACGAGCCUGCGCUGUGCCGUAGGGAAGCCGUGAAGCGAGCCGCCUGGGAAGUACGUCCGCAAGGAUGAAACUUAAAGGAAUUGGCGGGGGAGCACUACAACCGGAGGAGCCUGCGGUUUAAUUGGAGUCAACGCCGG
RNAcentral lists this ribosomal RNA (587 nucleotides) under uncultured haloarchaeon. Its description in RNAcentral is "bacterial SSU rRNA". It matches the Rfam family "Archaeal small subunit ribosomal RNA", at positions 335 to 921 of the family's 1478-position model. The record is from RNAcentral. Lineage: Archaea; Methanobacteriati; Methanobacteriota; Halobacteria; Halobacteriales; Halobacteriaceae.